GAUGAACGCUGGCGGCGUGCCUAAUACAUGCAAGUCGAGCGAACGGACUAGAAGCUUGCUUCUCUGAUGUUAGCGGCGGACGGGUGAGUAACACGUGGAUAACCUACCUAUAAGACUGGGAUAACUUCGGGAAACCGUAGCUAAUACCGGAUAAUAUUUUGAACCGCAUGGUUCAAAAGUGAAAGACGGUCUUGCUGUCACUUAUAGAUGGAUCCGCGCUGCAUUAGCUAGUUGGUAAGGUAACGGCUUACCAAGGCAACGAUGCAUAGCCGACCUGAGAGGGUGAUCGGCCACACUGGAACUGAGACACGGUCCAGACUCCUACGGGAGGCAGCAGUAGGGAAUCUUCCGCAAUGGGCGAAAGCCUGACGGAGCAACGCCGCGUGAGUGAUGAAGGUCUUCGGAUCGUAAAACUCUGUUAUUAGGGAAGAACAUAUGUGUAAGUAACUGUGCACAUCUUGACGGUACCUAAUCAGAAAGCCACGGCUAACUACGUGC
This 498-nucleotide ribosomal RNA is filed under the name uncultured bacterium. RNAcentral's name for it is "partial 16S ribosomal RNA". It matches the Rfam family "Bacterial small subunit ribosomal RNA", at positions 28 to 508 of the family's 1533-position model. The record is from RNAcentral.